GAUGAACGCUGGCGGCGUGCCUAAUACAUACAAGUCGAGCGAACAGAUGAGGAGCUUGCUCCUCUGACGUUAGCGGCGGACGGGUGAGUAACACGUGGAUAACCUACCUAUAAGACUGGGAUAACUUCGGGAAACCGGAGCUAAUACCGGAUAAUAUAUUGAACCGCAUGGUUCAAUAGUGAAAGACGGUUUUGCUGUCACUUAUAGAUGGAUCCGCGCCGCAUUAGCUAGUUGGUAAGGUAACGGCUUACCAAGGCAACGAUGCGUAGCCGACCUGAGAGGGUGAUCGGCCACACUGGAACUGAGACACGGUCCAGACUCCUACGGGAGGCAGCAGUAGGGAAUCUUCCGCAAUGGGCGAAAGCCUGACGGAGCAACGCCGCGUGAGUGAUGAAGGUCUUCGGAUCGUAAAACUCUGUUAUUAGGGAAGAACAAAUGUGUAAGUAACUAUGCACGUCUUGACGGUACCUAAUCAGAAAGUCACGGCUAACUACGUG
Molecule: ribosomal RNA, 497 nt
Filed under: uncultured bacterium
Lineage: Bacteria
Description: partial 16S ribosomal RNA
Rfam family: Bacterial small subunit ribosomal RNA
Source: RNAcentral